CCCUUAGAGUUUGAUCCUGGCUCAGAUUGAACGCUGGCGGCAGGCCUAACACAUGCAAGUCGAGCGGUAACAGAUUGAUAGCUUGCUAUCAAUGCUGACGAGCGGCGGACGGGUGAGUAAUGCCUGGGAAUAUGCCCUGAUGUGGGGGAUAACUAUUGGAAACGAUAGCUAAUACCGCAUAAUCUCUUCGGAGCAAAGAGGGGGACCUUCGGGCCUCUCGCGUCAGGAUUAGCCCAGGUGGGAUUAGCUUGUUGGUGGGGUAAUGGCUCACCAAGGCAACGAUCCCUAGCUGGUCUGAGAGGAUGAUCAGCCACACUGGAACUGAGACACGGUCCAGACGCCUACGGGAGGCAGCAGUGGGGAAUAUUGCACAAUGGGGGAAACCCUGAUGCAGCCAUGCCGCGUGUAUGAAGAAGGCCUUCGGGUUAUAAAGUACUUUCAGUUGUGAGGAAGGCAGUAAAGUUAAUAGCUUUGCUGUUUGACGUUAGCAACAGAAGAAGCACCGGCUAACUCCGUGCCAGCAGCCGCGGUAAUACGGAGGGUGCGAGCGUUAAUCGGAAUUACUGGGCGUAAAGCGCAUGCAGGUGGUCUGUUAAGCAAGAUGUGAAAGCCCGGGGCUCAACCUCGGAACAGCAUUUUGAACUGGCAGACUAGAGUACUGUAGAGGGGGGUAGAAUUUCAGGUGUAGCGGUGAAAUGCGUAGAGAUCUGAAAGGAAUACCGGUGGCGAAGGCGGCCCCCUGGGACAGAUACUGACGCUCAUAUGCGAAAGCGUGGGGGAGCAAACAGGAUUAGAUACCCCUG
This 803-nucleotide ribosomal RNA is filed under the name uncultured Pseudoalteromonas sp. RNAcentral's name for it is "bacterial SSU rRNA". It matches the Rfam family "Bacterial small subunit ribosomal RNA", at positions 1 to 789 of the family's 1533-position model. The record is from RNAcentral. Lineage: Bacteria; Pseudomonadati; Pseudomonadota; Gammaproteobacteria; Alteromonadales; Pseudoalteromonadaceae.